UACGGACAUAUCACGUUCAAUUUACGGUUUUCGUAUGAUCACCGAAGUUAAGCAACGUCGUGCCUGGUCAGUACUUAGAUGGGAGACCGCAUUGGAAUACCAGGUGAUGUAAG
This is a non-coding RNA of Acanthosepion pharaonis, 113 nucleotides long. The record is from the annotation of a GenBank genome assembly. NCBI's taxonomy places the organism in Eukaryota, Metazoa, Mollusca, Cephalopoda, Sepiida, Sepiidae.